RNAcentral lists this ribosomal RNA (550 nucleotides) under uncultured bacterium. RNAcentral's name for it is "bacterial SSU rRNA". It matches the Rfam family "Bacterial small subunit ribosomal RNA", at positions 355 to 896 of the family's 1533-position model. The record is from RNAcentral.
UAGGGAAUCUUCGGCAAUGGACGGAAGUCUGACCGAGCAACGCCGCGUGAGUGAAGAAGGUUUUCGGAUCGUAAAGCUCUGUUGUAAGAGAAGAACGAGUGUGAGAGUGGAAAGUUCACACUGUGACGGUAUCUUACCAGAAAGGGACGGCUAACUACGUGCCAGCAGCCGCGGUAAUACGUAGGUCCCGAGCGUUGUCCGGAUUUAUUGGGCGUAAAGCGAGCGCAGGCGGUUAGAUAAGUCUGAAGUUAAAGGCUGUGGCUUAACCAUAGUACGCUUUGGAAACUGUUUAACUUGAGUGCAAGAGGGGAGAGUGGAAUUCCAUGUGUAGCGGUGAAAUGCGUAGAUAUAUGGAGGAACACCGGUGGCGAAAGCGGCUCUCUGGCUUGUAACUGACGCUGAGGCUCGAAAGCGUGGGGAGCAAACAGGAUUAGAUACCCUGGUAGUCCACGCCGUAAACGAUGAGUGCUAGGUGUUAGACCCUUUCCGGGAUUCAGUGCCGCAGCUAACGCAUUAAGCACUCCGCCUGGGGAGUACGACCGCAAGGUUG